CAACCCUCGAGCACUGCUCGGCGUUGGGGGCCUACAGCUAGUAGCCCCCUAAAACCACCGGCGAUGUCGCCCGCGGCUCCUUGCGUAGUAAGUCUUUCGCACUGGAACGCGGCGGCGCUGGCCGCUAAAUCGCCUAUAGGCACACAGAAC
RNAcentral lists this unclassified non-coding RNA (150 nucleotides) under uncultured Glomerellales. Its description in RNAcentral is "sequence contains ITS2". The record is from RNAcentral. Lineage: Eukaryota; Fungi; Ascomycota; Sordariomycetes; Glomerellales.